UACGUAGGGUGCUAGCGUUGUUCGGAAUCAUUGGGCGUAAAGCGCGUGUAGGCGGUUUGAUAAGUCGAAUGUGAAAUCCCCCGGCUCAACCGAGGAAGUGCAUUCGAAACUAUCUGGCUAGAAGAUGGCAGAGGAAGGUGGAAUUCCAAGUGUAGAGGUGAAAUUCGUAGAUAUUUGGAGGAAUACCGGUGGCGAAGGCGGCCUUCUGGACCAUUCUUGACGCUGAGACGCGAAAGCGUGGGGAGCAAAC
Molecule: ribosomal RNA, 250 nt
Filed under: uncultured bacterium
Lineage: Bacteria
Description: partial 16S ribosomal RNA
Rfam family: Bacterial small subunit ribosomal RNA
Source: RNAcentral